UGGCAUUUGGGAUUACAGC
RNAcentral lists this microRNA (19 nucleotides) under Ciona intestinalis (vase tunicate). Its description in RNAcentral is "cin-miR-4207-3p (mir4207)". Lineage: Eukaryota; Metazoa; Chordata; Ascidiacea; Phlebobranchia; Cionidae. The record is from RNAcentral.